CUGGUAUUGAUUGGUGCUUGCAUCAUGAUUUACAUUUGAGUGAGUGGCGAACUGGUGAGUAACACGUGGGAAACCUGCCCAGAAGCGGGGGAUAACACCUGGAAACAGAUGCUAAUACCGCAUAACAACUUGGACCGCAUGGUCCGAGUUUGAAAGAUGGCUUCGGCUAUCACUUUUGGAUGGUCCCGCGGCGUAUUAGCUAGAUGGUGGGGUAACGGCUCACCAUGGCAAUGAUACGUAGCCGACCUGAGAGGGUAAUCGGCCACAUUGGGACUGAGACACGGCCCAAACUCCUACGGGAGGCAGCAGUAGGGAAUCUUCCACAAUGGACGAAAGUCUGAUGGAGCAACGCCGCGUGAGUGAAGAAGGGUUUCGGCUCGUAAAACUCUGUUGUUAAAGAAGAACAUAUCUGAGAGUAACUGUUCAGGUAUUGACGGUAUUUAACCAGAAAGCCACGGCUAACUACGUGCCAGCAGCCGCGGUAAUACGUAGGUGGCAAGCGUUGUCCGGAUUUAUUGGGCGUAAAGCGAGCGCAGGCGGUUUUUUAAGUCUGAUGUGAAAGCCUUCGGCUCAACCGAAGAAGUGCAUCGGAAACUGGGAAACUUGAGUGCAGAAGAGGACAGUGGAACUCCAUGUGUAGCGGUGAAAUGCGUAGAUAUAUGGAAGAACACCAGUGGCGAAGGCGGCUGUCUGGUCUGUAACUGACGCUGAGGCUCGAAAGUAUGGGUAGCAAACAGGAUUAGAUACCCUGGUAGUCCAUACCGUAAACGAUGAAUGCUAAGUGUUGGAGGGUUUCCGCCCUUCAGUGCUGCAGCUAACGCAUUAAGCAUUCCGCCUGGGGAGUACGGCCGCAAGGCUGAAACUCAAAGGAAUUGACGGGGGCCCGCACAAGCGGUGGAGCAUGUGGUUUAAUUCGAAGCUACGCGAAGAACCUUACCAGGUCUUGACAUACUAUGCAAAUCUAAGAGAUUAGACGUUCCCUUCGGGGACAUGGAUACAGGUGGUGCAUGGUUGUCGUCAGCUCGUGUCGUGAGAUGUUGGGUUAAGUCCCGCAACGAGCGCAACCCUUAUUAUCAGUUGCCAGCAUUAAGUUGGGCACUCUGGUGAGACUGCCGGUGACAAACCGGAGGAAGGUGGGGAUGACGUCAAAUCAUCAUGCCCCUUAUGACCUGGGCUACACACGUGCUACAAUGGAUGGUACAACGAGUUGCGAACUCGCGAGAGUAAGCUAAUCUCUUAAAGCCAUUCUCAGUUCGGAUUGUAGGCUGCAACUCGCCUACAUGAAGUCGGAAUCGCUAGUAAUCGCGGAUCAGCAUGCCGCGGUGAAUACGUUCCCGGGCCUUGUACACACCGCCCGUCACACCAUGAGAGUUUGUAACACCCAAAGUCGGUGGGGUAACCUUUAGA
This 1407-nucleotide ribosomal RNA is filed under the name Lactiplantibacillus plantarum. RNAcentral's name for it is "bacterial SSU rRNA". It matches the Rfam family "Bacterial small subunit ribosomal RNA". The record is from RNAcentral. Lineage: Bacteria; Bacillati; Bacillota; Bacilli; Lactobacillales; Lactobacillaceae.